RNAcentral lists this ribosomal RNA (254 nucleotides) under uncultured bacterium. Its description in RNAcentral is "partial 16S ribosomal RNA". It matches the Rfam family "Bacterial small subunit ribosomal RNA", at positions 524 to 776 of the family's 1533-position model. The record is from RNAcentral.
UACGGGGGGAGCAAGCGUUGUUCGGAUUUACUGGGCGUAAAGGGCGCGUAGGCGGUCAGCACAAGUCAGUUGUGAAAUCUCCGGGCUUAACUCGGAAAGGUCAACUGAUACUGUGCGACUAGAGUUCGGUAGGGGAGACUGGAAUUCCUGGUGUAGCGGUGAAAUGCGCAGAUAUCAGGAGGAACACCGGUGGCGAAGGCGGGUCUCUGGGCCGAAACUGACGCCGAGGAGCGAAAGCGUGGGGAGCAAACAGG